GACGAACGCUGGCGGCGUGCCUAAUACAUGCAAGUCGAACGCAUUUUCUUUCACCGUAGCUUGCUACACCGAAAGAAAGUGAGUGGCGAACGGGUGAGUAACACGUGGGUAACCUGCCCAUCAGCGGGGGAUAACACUUGGAAACAGGUGCUAAUACCGCAUAAUUCCAUUUACCGCAUGGUAGAUGGAUGAAAGGCGCUUUUGCGUCACUGAUGGAUGGACCCGCGGUGCAUUAGCUAGUUGGUGGGGUAACGGCCUACCAAGGCUGCGAUGCAUAGCCGACCUGAGAGGGUGAUCGGCCACACUGGGACUGAGACACGGCCCAGACUCCUACGGGAGGCAGCAGUAGGGAAUCUUCGGCAAUGGACGCAAGUCUGACCGAGCAACGCCGCGGGAGUGAAGAAGGUUUUCGGAUUGUAAAACUCUGUUGUUAGAGAAGAACAAGGAUGAGAGUGGAAAGUUCAUCCCUUGACGGUAUCUAACCAGAAAGCCACGGCUAACUACGUG
Molecule: ribosomal RNA, 507 nt
Filed under: uncultured bacterium
Lineage: Bacteria
Description: partial 16S ribosomal RNA
Rfam family: Bacterial small subunit ribosomal RNA
Source: RNAcentral